This 98-nucleotide transfer RNA is filed under the name Roseomonas mucosa. Its description in RNAcentral is "tRNA-Pro(ggg)". The record is from RNAcentral. RNAcentral also lists the same sequence under 1 other name. Lineage: Bacteria; Pseudomonadati; Pseudomonadota; Alphaproteobacteria; Acetobacterales; Roseomonadaceae.
GAAGGGUGUGGCCAAGGCGCCGUUCCCGCUCUUCUGGGGCGUGAGCAAGGCCUGAACACAGGAAGAGGGCCGGCGGAUCACUCCGCCGGCCCUCUUCC